AGUGAACGCUGGCGGUAGGCCUAACACAUGCAAGUCGAACGGCAGCACAGUAAGAGCUUGCUCUUACGGGUGGCGAGUGGCGGACGGGUGAGGAAUACAUCGGAAUCUACUUUUUCGUGGGGGAUAACGUAGGGAAACUUACGCUAAUACCGCAUACGACCUACGGGUGAAAGCAGGGGAUCUUCGGACCUUGCGCGAUUGAAUGAGCCGAUGUCGGAUUAGCUAGUUGGCGGGGUAAAGGCCCACCAAGGCGACGAUCCGUAGCUGGUCUGAGAGGAUGAUCAGACACACUGGAACUGAGACACGGUCCAGACUACUACGGGAGGCAGCAGUGGGGAAUAUUGGACAAUGGGCGCAAGCCUGAUCCAGACAUACCGCGUGGGUGAAGAAGGCCUUCGGGUUGUAAAGCCCUUUUGUUGGGAAAGAAAAGCAGCAGGUUAAUACCCCGCUGUUCUGACGGUACCCAAAGAAUAAGCACCGGCUAACUUCGUG
RNAcentral lists this ribosomal RNA (492 nucleotides) under uncultured bacterium. RNAcentral's name for it is "partial 16S ribosomal RNA". It matches the Rfam family "Bacterial small subunit ribosomal RNA", at positions 29 to 507 of the family's 1533-position model. The record is from RNAcentral.